UACAGAGGGUGCAAACGUUGCUCGGAAUCACUGGGCAUAAAGCGCAUGUAGGCGGUCUCCUAAGUCUGGUGUGAAAUCCCUCGGCUCAACCGGGGAACUGCAUUGGAUACUGGGAGGCUUGAGAGUUGUAGGGGUGGACGGAACUCCAGGUGGAGCGGUGAAAUGCGUAGAGAUGUGGAGGAACACCGAUGGCGAAGGCAGCCCCCUGGGCCGAAUACUGACGCUCAUGCACGAAAG
RNAcentral lists this ribosomal RNA (237 nucleotides) under uncultured archaeon. RNAcentral's name for it is "partial 16S ribosomal RNA". It matches the Rfam family "Bacterial small subunit ribosomal RNA", at positions 524 to 759 of the family's 1533-position model. The record is from RNAcentral.